GGACAAGGUAAAUGACUGAAGUGUUACUGAUCAAGAUGAAAGGAAGAGCACUGCUCCUCUCUGUUCAGGAAGAACACUUCCUGAUGGAUAUUCAAGCUGGGAAGAAAUAUAAGUUGCAUGUUUCCUGACAUAUUUUGUAGCACCUGUUCACCAACACCCCAUUCUAAAGGAUACUGCUUCAUUGUGUCCUAUGUUUCCUCACUUGCUUCAACUGCAACUGAUUGGGAACAUCACCGAAGGGAGAAAGCUGGGAGGCAAAGCCUGGUGUUUUGUUUGGGUAGAGAAAGAAUGUGUCUUGAAAGUCAAAAGCAUGGAUUAUUCCUUGGAUAUAUUUCUGUGAUGAGCUACUAUCUAAUAGGAAAAGGGAGGAUGUCCGCCUGGCCUGCAGAUUCAGUACAGUGGAAUUUUGACAGCAAUUUGCAAUUAGGUUUUUUGCAACUAACUGUAUCCAGGCAAAACGAUGAAGAUGAUGAAACUUAGACUGAUCAUCUCCCAG
Molecule: long non-coding RNA, 496 nt
Filed under: Macaca nemestrina (pig-tailed macaque)
Lineage: Eukaryota; Metazoa; Chordata; Mammalia; Primates; Cercopithecidae
Description: lncRNA (ENSMNEG00000045708.1)
Source: RNAcentral